This is a long non-coding RNA of Parus major (Great Tit), 588 nucleotides long. RefSeq lists it as uncharacterized. The transcript has 2 exons. NCBI's taxonomy places the organism in Eukaryota, Metazoa, Chordata, Aves, Passeriformes, Paridae. The record is from RefSeq and is a predicted model, not a curated record.
CACCUGGACCCCCAAAUUCUCUCCAGGGAGCACCUGAAGUCCCUAAAUCCUCUCUAGAGAGCACCUGAACCCCCAAAUCCUCUGCAGGGAGCACCCAAAUCCUCUGCAGGGAGCCCCUGCAGUCCCAGCCAGCGCUCUCUGGCUCUCCACAGCCCAGAUGUUCCAGCUGUGCCCUGCCAGCUCCCUGCUGCCACCGUGGCCCCGAGGUUUUUACAUUUCCUGUGGGGAAAGGGCCCAGCAGCCUCAGUCUGGGUUUAUUUCUUUUCUCUGUAGUUCUAUUUUUUAGGAAACCACUUUUGCAAAUCAGCCACCUGGGGAGGGAGGGAGGGAGGGAGGAGAAAUUCCUGCUUUUCCCCCCAUCCUGGGCCCUGCCAGGAGCAUCCCAAGGUGACCCCGAGUCCUUCCCACUGCUCCUCCAGAGGCAAAACUGCAGGAAAAGCCUGGGAGAGUGGAACAGAGCAGGUGAAAACCUUGGGGCAGGUGAAUUUGGGAAGUGGGACAUCCCUCAGGGCACGGCCUGGGCUUGGCAUCGCUCCUGGCCUCCGAGGGCUGCGGAUAAUUGGAAUUAAAUGGAGCAAAUCCCAGGUG